GCAGAAAUAUGAUUGUCCCUUCAGUGGGACAUCAUUUGUGGUCUUCUCUCUCUUUUUGAUCUGUGCAAUGGCUGGAGAUGUAGUCUACGCUGACAUCAAAACUGUUCGGACUUCCCCGUUAGAACUCGCGUUUCCACUUCAGAGAUCUGUUUCUUUCAACUUUUCUACUGUCCAUAAAUCAUGUCCUGCCAAAGACUGGAAGGUGCAUAAGGGAAAAUGUUACUGGAUUGCUGAAACUAAGAAAUCUUGGAACAAAAGUCAAAAUGACUGUGCCAUAAACAAUUCAUAUCUCAUGGUGAUUCAAGACAUUACUGCUAUGGCCCCAUCACCAGAGUGGCAGAGCAGCAGAGCAGCGGAAUAGCAGAGUGACAGAGAAAGAAAGAAAAGAAGAAGCAGCCGGAUGUCAGAGAGAAGCAGUUUGAGCUCAGAGGGACAGCUUGAUGGUGGGACCUCGGAGAAGAGUUUGUCUGAACUCCAGGGGAAUACCACCUUCCCAUUCCAUCCACUUUCCAGCUCCCUAUCCCGCUGAGAGCCACUUCCAUCCCUCAAUAAAAUCCUCCACAUUCACUACCCUUCAA
Long non-coding RNA from Homo sapiens (human), 578 nucleotides. Ensembl annotates it as C-type lectin like 1, pseudogene. Its record names the gene CLECL1P. The record is from Ensembl. NCBI's taxonomy places the organism in Eukaryota, Metazoa, Chordata, Mammalia, Primates, Hominidae.